Long non-coding RNA from Hylaeus volcanicus, 860 nucleotides. RefSeq lists it as uncharacterized. Lineage: Eukaryota; Metazoa; Arthropoda; Insecta; Hymenoptera; Colletidae. The transcript is spliced from 3 exons. The record is from RefSeq and is a predicted model, not a curated record.
UUUAGUGAUGUUGCAGAAUUUACAGAUUUUCUUGGUCUGCGGAGAGGUGUUUGAAUAAUACCCUUACUUCUAAUAGGUAUAUAUCCUUCAGUAUUUGGUUGUGAUAGAUGUGUAGAAUUGAUGGUCGAUACUAGUGCUCUGAAAAUAAAAAACAAAAGCAAAGAACUUUAAGACAUGCAGGACUCAAUAUUUGUAACAAUAGCAUAAUAUAUGAAAAAUACUUACGGAAUGGGUUGACAUACGUAUUUAUGUUGUGGCCAAUUAUCUUUUUGACACUUUCUACUGCAAUAGAAAGUAUGACAUUUUUCGCAGGAUUUGGGUCUGGGAUUUCAUACAUUGUGUACCCUCGCCCGAGCGAGACAUGUCGUUUGCAAUCUGGUGUAAUCAUUAAUUGUCCUCUAACAUAUUUAAGAGAAAAAAAUGCUUGUACAUGAAAUAUGCACACAUUUGGUAUAAAUUAUCAAACAGUACCUUGUCCAUAACGUGUGUGUACUAUCAAAUGGAUCUGCUUUUUCAUAUGGAUUGUAUGUGUAUGAAUCAGAAGGAUAUGAAUAUAAUAAAUCAUCAUCUGGUGUGUAAAUUAUUCACAUACAGUGCGAAUUCUUUGCUAGAACUACAAUAAAUAAAAAAUGUAUACAUGAAUAAAAAAAUGGCAAGAAAAAUAUAUACGCUUUACUUUAUACAAAAGAUAAAGAGGAAAGAAAUCGUUAACAACACGUGCAAAUUGCCUCAAAAAAAAAAUAUACACGUCACGUACUGUAACCGCUAAUUAAUAAUACGAGGCGUACUGAAACGACAAACAAUUGAAAUCUAAGAUCGUGCGACCAGUUUUAAAAUAAUAAUCACUAUGAAUGUCUAAC